The sequence is a ribosomal RNA, 1512 nucleotides long. It matches the Rfam family "Bacterial small subunit ribosomal RNA". The record is from Rfam.
UGAAUGAAGAGUUUGAUCCUGGCUCAGGAUGAACGCUGACAGAAUGCUUAACACAUGCAAGUCGAUGGGGAAGAAUUAACUUGUUAAUUUGGUAACCAUGGCGGACGGGUGAGUAACGCGUAAAGAACUUACCUUUCAGACUGGGAUAACAGAGGGAAACUUCUGAUAAGACCGGAUAUAAUUAAUUGAUUGCAUGAGAGAUUAAUGAAAAGAGAUGCUGAAAGAGAGCUUUGCGUCCUAUUAGCUAGUUGGUAAGGUAACGGCUUACCAAGGCGAUGAUAGGUAGCCGGCCUGAGAGGGUGGACGGCCACAAGGGGACUGAGAUACGGCCCUUACUCUUACGGGAGGCAGCAGUGGGGAAUAUUGGACAAUGGAGGAGACUCUGAUCCAGCAAUUCUGUGUGCACGAAGAAGGUUUUCGGAUUGUAAAGUGCUUUCAGUGGGGAAGAAGGAAGUGACGGUACCCACAGAAGAAGCGACGGCUAAAUACGUGCCAGCAGCCGCGGUAAUACGUAUGUCGCGAGCGUUAUCCGGAAUUAUUGGGCAUAAAGGGCAUCUAGGCGGACGAUCAAGUCAGGGGUGAAAACUUGCGGCUCAACUGUAAGCUUGCCUUUGAAACUGAUUGUCUAGAGUAUUGGAAAGGUGGGCGGAACUACACGAGUAGAGGUGAAAUUCGUAGAUAUGUGUAGGAAUGCCGAUGAUGAAGAUAGCUCACUGGACGAUAACUGACGCUGAAGUGCGAAAGCUAGGGGAGCGAACAGGAUUAGAUACCCUGGUAGUCCUAGCUGUAAACGAUGAUCACUGGGUGUGGGCAGGAAGACUGUCUGUGCCGAAGCAAAUGCGAUAAGUGAUCCGCCUGGGGAGUACGACCGCAAGGUUGAAACUCAAAGGAAUUGACGGGGACCCGCACAAGCGGUGGAGCAUGUGGUUUAAUUCGACGCAACGCGAGGAACCUUACCAGAUCUUGACAUCCUACGAACAUGUAUGAGGAUACAUGGUGCCUUCGGGAACGUAGAGACAGGUGGUGCAUGGCUGUCGACAGCUCGUGUCGUGAGAUGUUGGGUUAAGUCCCGCAACGAGCGCAACCCUUAUCGUUAGUUACCAUCAUUAAGUUGGGGACUCUAGCGAGACUGCCUGCGAAGAGCAGGAGGAAGGUGGGGAUGACGUCAAGUCAUCAUGCCCCUUAUGAUCUGGGCUACACACGUGCUACAAUGGGCAGUACAGAGAGGAGCGAGAUAGUGAUAUGGAGCGAAUCUUGAAAGCUGUUCUAAGUUCGGAUUGAAGUCUGCAACUCGACUUCAUGAAGUUGGAAUCGCUAGUAAUCGCAAAUCAGCAAUGUUGCGGUGAAUACGUUCUCGGGUCUUGUACACACCGCCCGUCACACCACGAGAGUUGUUUGCACCUGAAGUUACUGGUCUAACUUAGGAGGAAGGUACCUAAGGUGUGAAUAGUGAUUGGGGUGAAGUCGUAACAAGGUAUCCGUACCGGAAGGUGCGGAUGGAUCACCUCCUUU